AGUACGACAACCUUUUAUAAAAUGCUGUUGCUAAUAACAGCUAAUAAUUCAUUAUUGAUAAGAGAAAAAAUCAGUGAAUGUUAUGGUGCGUCAUCUUAAAUUACUUUUUAAUAUUUCUAGCAGUUUUGAUGUGUUUUGUGGAUUUUAUCAGUGAAAUUAUUAUUUAUUAUUGAUAUCAGAAAAGCCUUUACUUAUAAAAGUGCAAAUUGUGCAAAGCCAAGCUCUUCAUGAAUAUUUUUGUUUUGCAAACUGUUUACGAAUAAAUUAUGUGCUACAAUAUUUAAAUAUAAUGGAGAGGCCCAUUCCUGCCCCUAGAGAGUUCAAAAAGCCAGUACCAGCUCCCAGGAAAAAUAUAAAUAGGAAUAAUCAAAGGGUAGCCAAUUUAGAAACAAAUAUUAUUGAGGAACCUUUCACAGAAAUAGCAAUUGUUGAAGAAACAAAACAAAGCAAAAUUAGUGAAGACAAGGGCGAACAGUUUAAUACAUUUUCGAGAAGGGUUACUAAUGCAUCAAAACAGAUAGCUGGAGAUAUUGGUCAAUUAGUACAAGGUCGAAAAAAGGCUGUCAUAGAGGGUACCAGGCAGAGCGUCAGGCGAUUAACACGAAAAUUUAGUUCCGCAUCUCAGUUAGAACGAAAACACGAUAAAAAUAGUGCAAGUCAACAAGAUUUAGAAGUGUCUAUUGAUAUAUUUAACAACAUUAAAUUUGAGUCACCUAUUAGUAGGGCCAACAGUAUUUAUAGCAACAUUGAAAAUGAAUUGGAGUCCGGAUCAUCAGAUGAAUCGCUUACAUUUCCCCCUCCAAAACAUCCCCCACCGCCCCUUCCUGCAGAAGGGGUAUAUGACGCACCAUCUAGUUCUCCAGUAACGUCAAGCACGGAAUCAAGCACCUCUGGGAGAAACCAAAGUAAGACAGACAAUUAUGAAAGCAUUUUUCCUCAACUUCCUCAGAAUAACAAUAAUUUAAACUCAGAUAAUAUGUCUAGUUCCUGUUCGUGGAAAUAUUAUGACACAGUAAAUCAACAGGAAAAUAUUUAUGAUAACAUUGGCGUCAAAGAAGAAAAUUCUCAUCAAGAAGAAAAAUCAACAGCAUCCGAUGAACAAGUUCUAAUACCCGCUAAAGUUGAGAAUACUCACAGGGUGUCUAAUGCUUCUUCAAUGAAUCAUACUAAUUCGAUUUACGAAAACCACGAAGUAGUGUUUCUUAGAGAAAACAAGGAUGCCUCAAAUUCCAAUAAGACUUCUAAAAGUGUUUUAAUGCAGUUUGAUCCGUUAACCCAUUUAUCUAGUACACAAUUUUCCGAGUUAAAUUUACUGGAGGAUCUUUUGCAAGGAGACCUUUACGGAAGUAUACCAGAUACUUAUAGGUUCGAUGAGUUCAGCAUAAGUAACGAUUCCGAACCGGAGGAAUAUCUCAAUCCUCCAACGCCACCUCUAAGAAUAGAUUCACUGCCUGGAGAUGAAGUCAAAGAAGAGAGCGAACCUGUGAUUAAUAGCGCUAGUGUAGAAAAGGUUAAGGAAAAUGACAAGAGGAAAAGUAAACUGCAUAGGGAGCCAUCUGUAAAGUCGAGAACUAAUUGGUUUGAUGACACCUCUCAAACUGAUUCGACAGAGAAACGAUCACCCGUAGAACCAAGGAAAAACUGGCUUAAACAGGUAUUAGAAAAAACUCCAGAUGUUUUCAAGACUAACAAACCAGCAAAUAGCAACGUCGAAAGACCUAUAUUGGGCGGUUCAUCUUUCAUCAGCAGAAGAGGCAUGCUAUACAAGGUACAAAGUGGACCUGUGGAAGAUUUCUUUGGCGAAUACAGCGGAAGAUGGUGUGUUUUGGAAAACAACGAUUUGGUUUGUUAUUCUGAUAACACAUGUUCCAGCAUUAAAGAACAUUUUCCAGCAUCCAACAUUCUGAGCAUACAGUUAUUGCAGGAUCCGAAAUAUAAAUACAGGCACGAGAAUGAUGAUCUGCACUGUUUCGAGUUGAAUGUAACUGGAAAAAGUCGAGGUGGACACAAGUAUGGAUCUCGCAGUAUGAGCGAACGCAGAAUAUGGAUGCAGCACAUUGCGGAGAUGCUCACUCAAAAAUUCAAGUCCAGAUAUACCAGCAACUUUAUUAGAAUGGGAUGGGCUUAUGUUCGCGAAGGCGUUAGUGGCAAGUGGGCAGGGGCGUGGCUGAUUUUAAGUGAAAGAGAAUUACAUUAUGUUAUUGAUAGACAUUCUGUGAAGACAAUGGACUUAAGAAAAGCAAGAUGCAUUAUUUUGCAAGCAUAUGAAGAAACACAAAAUAUUCCUAGGACGAACGAUAAAGGACCGAAUAUGUUGGUGGACUGUCCAGAUUUGACAUUAUAUCUUAGGAUGUGGACCUCCAGAGAAACCAAAGUUUGGUGUCAUAUUGUGAAAUUAGAAGCUCAUAACAACGGUGCCAACCUCGAUCAGCAGCAACUAACAAAGAAUGACAUUCCUGUGAUUGUGGAGAAGUGCAUUAAUUUCAUUUAUGCUCACGGGAGUAUGUCCGAAGGAAUAUAUCGUAAACCAGGAACGGGCUCUGUAGUCUCCGAUCUGUUGUUCAAAUUUAGGAAAGACGCCUUUGCAGUACAGCUUACGAAAAACUUAUGCAGCGAAUACGAAGUUGCGACGGCCCUAAAAAGGUUCUUCAGAGAACUUCCAGAGCCUCUAUUCGGUAGUGAUCAUCGGCAGUACCUUUACGAAGUUGCCAAACACAAUAUUAAAGACGAAAAAAUCCGAAUGUUCAAAGCCGCCUUGGAUCAACUGCCAACUAUUUCGUACAAGACAUCGCGAAAGUUGUUGGGUCAUUUGCACUUUAUCAGUUUGCAGAGUUCUAAAAACCUCAUGGAUGUGGAUAAUUUAGCUGCAAUUUGGGGUCCAACCCUAAUGCAUUAUGAUGACAAAGACAGACCAAGUAAAGGAUUGGAUCAUGUUCAAGACGCUGAAGUAGUAAGCCAGCUUAUCCGACACUACAGGAAUAUAUUCCCCGAAGAUCCUGGAGAACUAGAAAAGGAAAAAGUUAUGCUAAAAAUUUUACAGAAAUAUACUCAAUCCCCUCAAGGCUCCGUUAAUGACAAAGCUGCAGGUGAUUUUCGAGUAUGGAUUUAUUUGUUUAGUAAAGAAGGAAAAGCAUAUAAUUUAGCGAUUGGUCCUAAUAGAACAGCGUAUGAAGUCUGUAUGGAACUUUGUGAUAAAAUUGGGAAACCUGCGUUGGGAAACCACGAAAUAAUUUUAGAAGAGGUAGUUCUUGACGAUCGGCUCGUUAGACCUAUUCAUCAUACCGAAAAGGUUUUAGACGUAGUACUAAAAUGGAGUUACUGGGACGACGCGGACAGAAAAAACAACUAUAUAACUUGUGUCUCUCUAUCGAAAUACUGGGAAUAUAUAAUCGAAAAACCUCUCCCAGUUUCUGGAGAACUGAAGUUUGCCGACAGCAAAUCCCGUGUGUUUCGGACGAUGCUCUUCCAGUUCACGCAAGGUUGUCUAAGUUGUUUCAAAGAUAAAACGAGCGAUGCAAGUUUGUUCUCCUGGCACAUCGAGGACUUAAUCUGGUACCUGGGCCAUGAACCGAAACGACACCCCCCGAGCAAAUAUACGAUGACGUUUUUCAAAGAGGGCUUCCAUCCGAAACGUACCAGGAACCACCCAUUUUUCGGCAACGUGGUGGUGUGGAACGAUGCCGGCAGCAGAGCCAACUGGAUCAGCGCCAUGCUUAAAUCUAGAUGAUGGCGUCUGGAAUAUAUCCAUAUCACCAUAUCUCUCGAAUCCAAACAUCGUAUUGGAAAGUUAACCUUGCCGUUUUGUAGAAAAGAAAAAAUGAUUGGGAGAAGCAUAAAAUUGAAUGUAGCACUAGCCAAUAGGAAAACAAUCAUGGCAACGAAAUGUAUGAGAAUCUCCACUAAUCAGGUUGGUUGAAUCCAGGAUGCCAUGAUUACUUUCUCGGCGGUGUUUACUUGAAAUGGACACCUUUAGGAAAUAUUUACCUUUUAAGGAUAAAAGGCAGAAUGAAGGCAUCUAACAACAAAAGCGAACAGUAGACGGAAAACUUUAAGCAUCUGCAGAACAGCCAGGAACAAUGAAGAAACUGAAG
This is an RNA transcript of Sitophilus oryzae (rice weevil), 4091 nucleotides long. It is a transcript of the gene named arf-GAP with Rho-GAP domain, ANK repeat and PH domain-containing protein 1, with no coding region annotated. Lineage: Eukaryota; Metazoa; Arthropoda; Insecta; Coleoptera; Curculionidae. The transcript has 22 exons. The record is from RefSeq and is a predicted model, not a curated record.